CAACCUCUGACGAGCAUCGUGAACGUUG
This 28-nucleotide non-coding RNA is filed under the name unclassified sequences. The record is from Rfam.